Long non-coding RNA from Pseudoliparis swirei, 1494 nucleotides. RefSeq lists it as uncharacterized. The transcript is spliced from 2 exons. NCBI's taxonomy places the organism in Eukaryota, Metazoa, Chordata, Actinopteri, Perciformes, Liparidae. The record is from RefSeq and is a predicted model, not a curated record.
UAAUGAAAUCUGAAUAGUCAAUAUGAGUUUGUAUUACCUCACAUGGUAAUAUUUCUGUUUAACAUGAGUUCUGCAUCCCUCCCUAUGUAUUUCGGCCACAGCAGCAUGCUCGAGCAACUUGUCGUGGGCAAAAACCGCCCGGUGACCAGUUGUCCGUACUGUACGCAUACUGUAUGAGUCACGCCACGGCGAGUCACACAGACGGAUCGGGCUCCGCUCUCCAUCCGAGUCUCUGCGUGUGUCAGCGAUAUAGCAGCGACACAUUGCCACUCUGCUAUCUCCGCCAUCCCCCGGGGAACAUAUUGUUUGUGGUGAAAAGCUGCAAAUCUGUUGAUCAAGGUUCCAAAAGGACAUUUGUUUUAUUUAUUUAUUGAUUUUCAGUCAUUGCCAAACAUACAAACAGGAAUAUGGAGCCAUCCGGCUAUAGCUCUAUAGCUCUAAUGCGCUUCAAUGACAUGUCUCUAGUGGAUAUAUAUUCUACUUUAAAGCAAAGUACUGCUGGUGUAGAAAAACACGGAUAUAUUAAACUCCACGGUGGAGCGCCGGGUCACAUGUUCCUUCAUUACCAUGAACUCACAUGCAGUUUAAUUUGAAUGAAUCCCACAUACACCACGCUGCUGCCGAAAGCACACUCCCGAGAGCUGUAGAAUCGGAGUGUGUAACAGUUUGCCGAUUGCAAUCUGAAUGUGUAUUAAUCCGCUGAUGAAAAGCAGCAAAAAGAACCCCAACAAAAACACCUUUUAUUACUCUAUUAAUAACAUUUGCUAAAAAAAAAACGACCAGCUGGUUUAGGAAAUUAUUUAGCUCGUCAGUAUGAAACUUCUAACUUUUAUAUUUGAGAGCCAAGUGCAAAGACAACGAUGACAUCGUUUUUCUUUUCAUGGGAUUUAUUUAAAAAUAAGAUAGAAUAAAAACGCCAAAGAAAACACCAGCCUCAUCGUUUAAAGAUAUGAAUGUAUGAAAUGCUUCUGCAUACAACCCGUACUGUUGUAUAGAAGCACCUGAUGGAGUUUGACAUAGUGCCAUAUAUUUGCUCAUAUUCUUUUCUCUGUAGGACUCCACUAACCAGAGCAUGCUGCACAGCGCCACACCGGUUCAACUGCACCCCGGGGGCUCGGUUCUGGUUGGACUGAAUCCCUUCUCCCAAUUUCUUUUCACAAUGGGUUCACAAAUAUGGACAGUCCUGAGUCAUCCCCGGUGUCUGAGGAGAGGUACUGCAAGUCCUUCCUGCUGCUGUCAGGCUGCACAACAAACUUGCAGUAGAUCACUAAAACCACUAAAACACUUAAACACUCGAUCACUUGGACACUUUAAUCUGUUAAAUACACUUUUAUUACUACCUUGUAUAUAUAUAUAUAUAUAUAUAUAUUAGUAUUCCUCUGUAUAUUUAAUAUUGUUACCGUUUUUGUACAUUUUUAUUACUGCUCUGUGCAACCACUGCUGUGAUCCUGCAAUUUCCCCACUGAGGGACUAAUAAAGGAAUAUUUCAUCUUA